UAAUGGUUGAAUUUGAGGACCUUAUUAAUUAUUCAGCUAAAAUCCAUGCCUGUAUAACUGAAGCUAACUGUUGAGUCUAGUCCUGACAACAUCGGAGCCAACUCAGCAGCAUCAUAUGGUCUCCUGGUGACUCAGACUGGACCAAUGCCCUGACCUCUUAUCCCAGCUAUAGCAACUUAUGUAAAGCUUGGAAAACUUCUCUCUGUGGGAGCAGUCCGCAUGGGCUCCGAUCAAUAGCAGGACUUGCAGCAGAGCACGAGCAAGGAUAUCUACUGGAAAGGCUACCAUGUCUAAGACACAUUAACUGUCUUGUUUCUCUGCUCCUGGCAUAGAAGUUGUCAGCUGUGCUGUUCACAUGAAGGAAAUACUGGAAUCUCAUUUAUGUA
Calidris pugnax (ruff) is the source of this 386-nucleotide long non-coding RNA. RefSeq lists it as uncharacterized. The record is from RefSeq and is a predicted model, not a curated record. The transcript is spliced from 4 exons. Lineage: Eukaryota; Metazoa; Chordata; Aves; Charadriiformes; Scolopacidae.